This 413-nucleotide ribosomal RNA is filed under the name uncultured prokaryote. RNAcentral's name for it is "bacterial SSU rRNA". It matches the Rfam family "Bacterial small subunit ribosomal RNA", at positions 505 to 918 of the family's 1533-position model. The record is from RNAcentral.
GUGUCAGCAGCCGCGGUAAUACGUAGGGUGCGAGCGUUAAUCGGAAUUACUGGGCGUAAAGCGUGCGCAGGCGGUUAUAUAAGACAGAUGUGAAAUCCCCGGGCUCAACCUGGGACCUGCAUUUGUGACUGUAUAGCUAGAGUGCGGCAGAGGGGGAUGGAAUUCCGCGUGUAGCAGUGAAAUGCGUAGAUAUGCGGAGGAACACCGAUGGCGAAGGCAAUCCCCUGGGCCUGCACUGACGCUCAUGCACGAAAGCGUGGGGAGCAAACAGGAUUAGAUACCCUGGUAGUCCACGCCCUAAACGAUGUCAACUGGUUGUUGGGUCUUCACUGACUCAGUAACGAAGCUAACGCGUGAAGUUGACCGCCUGGGGAGUACGGCCGCAAGGUUGAAACUUAAAUGAAUUGGCGGGG